UUAAUGGCAUUUAUUAAUCCCUAAGUUGUCUUUCUUUUCUGCAGAAACGAAGCCCCUAAAUCUUCCACUUCCUACCCCUAACUUUGCUCAGUUAUUGAGGGGACACAAACUCAUUCUGAGGAGAUCAAAAGGCAAAGAUACCUCCAGGAGAUAUCUGGAAAGGAGCUUUAACUAUGAGCAUCCCACCAAGUUGCCUCAUUUUUGCAUGUGGAGCUUAUUCCACAGAAUUUGAUGGAACUGUGACAGUUGCCUGCAUAUUUGAAGAACAGGGAUUUUACUAAAUGAAGGAUGUCAAUGCAGUUGCUCUAGCAGAUAAUUAUGCUUCAUGAACACUGGAUUCCAAUUAGAGAAGAACAAGUCCCUGGCAAUAGCCUCCUUAUACAGUGAAUUAAAAAGACAACUAAUUGGCAAAUGUGGUGCCAAAUAUGGAGGAAAAAGAGAAAGGGAAAAGGUGUUGUGUCAUCUGAGAGCCUCUUUGUCACCUCCAGCUGGGAACAGUGUCUUUUGCCUGCUGCCAGUGUGCUGCAACCCAGCACUAGAAGAUAAAGAUUGACAGAGAGGUAAUUUAUUGGCAGCAUGUCCCCAAUCAGGCCUUCAGUGAAAUAUCUCUCAGAGCCAAGUUGCCUAAAUUCCUCUGUCUACAUGGACGGUUCCUGCUCUUUCCAGAACUGAUGCUGUCUGGGGGGGUGCUGUGAAGCACCCUGAGCCUCCCAGGUCUUUAUGCUGAGAAUGACAAUGAUUUAAUGAAGAGGUGCAAAUGGAUGCAUGAGUGGAAAGGGGUGAGGAGUGUAACUAUUUCUGGAUUGCUACAGAGGAGCGCCAGAGAGAGAAUGUGCAAUGAGCUUGGGAAGGCUGCUCCUCUGCAGCUGCUGCUUAGAGGUUUGAUGCCUGUCCCUGGGCACACUAGGGAAUAAGCCAACCAUCUGAUAACAGUGGCAUCUAACAUGUGCCUUGCCUGGGGAUAGCAUCUAUCCACAAAAGGCACAAGAAAAACAUCAGUUUGUGAUGUAUCACUCAAGUUUUUUAAGUCAUUGAACAAUAAUCAGCAGUGAUUCAAAGGCUGGUUUUGACAGUUUUCUAGAAUUAUGCCAUACUUUUCCCAUCUCAUAUAUAUAAAAGUGUGUGUAUAUAUAUAUAUAUAUGUAGUAGAUACAUUAGUAUGACAUGCAUUCUAUAUUAUAAUUUAGUGUAUGUGCACAUUAUUAUAUACAUAACACAUGCAAACACACAUUAGCAGUCUUGUUAAAAAUACGUACAGCCUUUUUAUUUAUAAAGAAUGGAGAGUAUAAUCAAAUGUCAGACCCUGAAAAACCACAUGCCAAGGGAAUGCCACGUAGUCUGCCAUCCCUGUUCUAUGGCAGGUGGCUUUGAGGGACUACCAGAAGAACCUCAUGACAGUGAAUAAAGCUGACUGUACAAAUUGUGAGUUUUCUUCC
This 1436-nucleotide long non-coding RNA is filed under the name Parus major (Great Tit). Its description in RNAcentral is "lncRNA (ENSPMJG00000008538.1)". The record is from RNAcentral. Lineage: Eukaryota; Metazoa; Chordata; Aves; Passeriformes; Paridae.